AGAUAUAACACUGCAAUAUUUCUCAAAACACGUAGCCUUCCGUGGCUGGUGUCAACUGACUGGGGUUUUAAGCCUUCUGGAUAAGACCGCGUCGUGUAGGAAACGGUUGCGACGUUUCGCUUGCCCUGUUGGAAGCAUCUUCAGGGAGCUUCCACAUCUUGCGAAGGCUGGAUGUGAACUGGAGUGUUGGACCAGGGUAGGCAUAUUUAUAGGCAGGGUCGGAGGUCGUAGCGGGUGGUCCCGUUGAUGUCAUGCUUUUUGAGUAAUCUAUUUAUCUUGUCGGUGGUAUCUUUUACGUAGGGGAGGUAGGAUAUUCUACCUGGUUUGGUCGUUGUAUGCAAUAUUUCAUAUCGUGGAAGCGCAGUAUUCUUACUUAGUCACUUGUCACACUAAAGCUAUUCUUGGAAUGAAACCACAACCCUGUUUGGGCUAAUAUUUGCCUAAUAAAUUGUAUAUUUCGUAUUAACAGGUGAGGAUGCCAUGGAAAACUGCAGAGAGACUAUAGCAGACAUUUCCAUGAAACUCCAAAACGUCUCCUGCACAGAAAGCACAAGAUUUUUGGAAACCUUUCGGAAGGAGAUCACAUCAUUAACAGAGCGCAAACCAAUUGAUAAAAUUUACAUUGGUGUGUUUGGGAGGACAGGAGCUGGAAAGAGCUCCUUGAUCAAUGCGAUUGUGAAUGAAAAACAUCUUCUACCAUCUGGGGGGUUUCAAGCCUGCACUUCCGUCAUCGUGUACGUAGAGGCCAACACUAAGUCUGACAAAUACAGAGCAGACAUUGAUUUAAUGAGCAAACAGGAGUGGGAUGCGGAGCUACGCUUCCUGCUGGAAACACUCUCUAAUGAUCAGGAGGACAGAACUGAUGCUGACACUGAGUACGA
Scleropages formosus (Asian bonytongue) is the source of this 881-nucleotide long non-coding RNA. RefSeq lists it as uncharacterized. The record is from RefSeq and is a predicted model, not a curated record. The transcript has 3 exons. NCBI's taxonomy places the organism in Eukaryota, Metazoa, Chordata, Actinopteri, Osteoglossiformes, Osteoglossidae.